This 419-nucleotide ribosomal RNA is filed under the name uncultured bacterium. Its description in RNAcentral is "partial 16S ribosomal RNA". The record is from RNAcentral.
ACUGCGUGGACUACCAGGGUAUCUAAUCCUGUUUGCUACCCACGCUUUCGUAUCUCAGCGUCAAAAAUGGCCUAGUUAGUCGCCUUCGCUUCUGGUAUUCUUUCCAAUAUCUACGAAUUUCACCUCUACACUGGAAAUUCUACUAACCCUUACCAAAUUCUAGAUCACUAGUUUUAAAUGCAGUUCCUGGGUUGAGCCCAGGGAUUUCACAUCUAACUUUUUGAUCCGCCUACAUACGCUUUACGCCCAGUGAUUCCGAACAACGCUAGCCCCCUUCGUAUUACCGCGGCUGCUGGCACGAAGUUAGCCGGAGCUUCUUCUUCAAUUAAUGUCAUUAUCAUCGUUGGCGAAAGAGCUUUACGACCCUAAGGCCUUCAUCACUCACGCGGCAUGGCUAGAUCAGGCUUGCGCCCAUUGUC